Molecule: long non-coding RNA, 2088 nt
Organism: Lytechinus pictus (painted urchin)
Lineage: Eukaryota; Metazoa; Echinodermata; Echinoidea; Temnopleuroida; Toxopneustidae
Exons: 3
Source: RefSeq, a predicted model, not a curated record
AUUCUCACACUCAGUUGCACUAACAGUGAGUGACCUUUACUGGAUCCCACGGCGCCCACGUGCACACCCAAUCCCAAAUCUAACAAUUCUGCACGAACGUUGAGCCGCGCUUGAACACCAAUUCCGCCGGCUGUGCUGGCCUCGCCCCCGGCCCGCCGCAGGCGCCGGCAGGCCUCUCCCUCCACGUCCCCCCGUUUGCUGCAUGCCCAUGUGACACAUCACCGGGACACAUCAUCAUACCUGUUUCACUGCUUGAUGCAAUAUCUGUCCUGAACUUUUCCUGAAACAAGAAUACAAAACACUGAAGGUUUAUUUUUACAAAAAGUUAAGUAAAAGUAGAUCAUCAUGUUCCGAAUGCAACCCCCUGGACCACCACCAGAGAAGUCACAAGAAGAGGAGGUCUUGAUGAGGAAAGCACUCAUUGGGAAUGUCACCAUCUUUGCUGCAAUAGUGGCUGCAUUGAGAUUAACUCCCAUUGUCUUGGAUCAACUUGGUUUCUAUGAAUCAUGAUAGCCUCUGCUCAAACUGAACAACUGAUUGGGCCGUGCUUCAAUUUAGGUUGGGAAACCUCUUCCCUUAACAGUGAAUGUAGGUGUGAUGGUCUGAUUGAAGAUAUUUGCUUAUUAAUCUAAAUAUUCCUCAAGAAAGAGCAAGAAGUGGAGGUGUUGUUACAUUAUAUUGAAAGAACUGUAUGAACAGUGGGCAAAUUACAUAUUUGAAGUAAGGAAUGUAUAUGGGUAAUGCAUAAACAUUUAAAACAAUAUAGAUGGCCCUAAUACCUAUAUUGAUAUGACGUAUAUUUCCCAACUGAAAUUAAAUUCAAUCAUUUUGCAGAGCUGAUUUAAUUCUUAUAGAGUCAAGUUAGGAAAUUUAUUUUUUCACAGAGGUAUUCCAUCAUAUUAAUAUAAACAAGCAUCUUGUGCAAAUUCAUUCCAACAUGAAAAUGAUCUUUGUUUUUCCGAGACUUAUCUCCAUGCAAAGGUAUGUUAGUUACAUUACAUUGGAAAGAUUUAAAAGCAGCUUGCAUUUCACAUAGUAUUGCACAAAUUCCAAUGCACUUGUACAUCAAAUUUACCCAAUAUUGGAUAAUGACCAUGCCCAAAUUUAUUUUUCGCAGAAGUUAAUUGAAAUGAUCUGAAAUUGACUUGCCCAAAUGUGUUGUAAAUAUAUCUUAAAGGUUGAAUGCAGUAUUACAAUUUGAAUCAUACGUCUGAUAGUGUAUUGGCAGGCAAGUGGUAGUACAUAUCUUUCAUAAUAAUAGUAAUAAUGAAGAAAGAUAUGAUUGAUACCUUCCCUAUUCUUUUACAUAUCAACUUAAAAGACUAGUCUCUAUCCAGUUGUACACUUUACGAUCGAUAUAAGAAAAUGCAGCAGUACAGUAGGAUUAUAUGUAUUACAUACCGUUUUCUACCACACAAACACCCUUCAAACUAUAUGUUAUAACCAAAGGCACAAAGAUGUAAUGUGCAUAAAUACUUGUAUGCCACGGCUAAUAUAUUAAAAAAAAUGAAAACUCCUAUUGGUUACCAGCAAUGUUACUUUUCAGGCUAAACACUGGAUUCAAGCUUUAUGCACUUAAUUUCAGACCAUAUACUAAAUGGCUAAUUCUAAAUGAUUUUCAGGCAUUUUGAUUGUUGAUUCCUAAUUUAACGGCCAGAAAAAUAUGAGAGUAAGCUUUUUGUAUGUCUCAAAAAGCUAUGAAAACAUAACUUUCAUGAUUGUGAAAAGUGUCUUGUCCUUUUUACAUAUACGAUGUGUUACUGCUUCUAUCUAUGAAGUCCACCUUGCAUACGUUGAAUGGAUCUACAGGGAACUGCUUUAGCUUCACUUUACUACAAUUUUACCAAAAGCAGUGUAGUGAAAUGAGUUCUUAAAAUGAAUAAAAGCAUCUCUGUUUUUUUAUUUGACCAAGUUCAAAACUUCUGAAAGUUCAACUUUUGCAAGGUUGACUUAUUUAUUCUGUGUGAUGUAAACUAUUUUUUUUGUGAUAAUCUUGAGGUAUUUUGUCAAUGACAAAUAUUGCUCUUCUAGACAUUAUGGAAGGAUUUCUAAGAAAUAUAAAAUAAAACAGGACUUUAUAAACAAUAA